GGCCUUCGGAGUAUGAUCGAAAGGUCCGUCCUGCCCGGUGAUAUAAUUAAACGGCUGCAGUACUCUGACUGUGCAAAGGUAGCAUGAUCAAUUGUCUGGUAAUUCCAGUCUGGUAUGAAUGGUUAGACGAUAGGAACGCUGUCUUUUUCUCUUUUGUUGAAAUUGACUACCAGGUGCGGAGGCCUGGAUUGGAGAGUGGGACGAGAAGACCCUAUAGAGCUUUAACUUUAGCUAUAAAAUCAUUGUUAUGGUGUGUGUUUUAGUUGGGGCAACUAUUUUUAUUAUUAAACAUUUAUAGUAAUCUAGUAAAUUUAAUUUGCGUGGACCCUAAAUUUUUAGGUAGUUAGAAAAAGUUACCUUAGGGAUAACAGCGUAAUUUCUCUUGAGAGUUCUUAUUAACGGAGGAGUUUGCGACCUCGAUGUUGGAUCAAGUUUACCUAGAGGUGCAGCCGCUUCUAAGGGUUGGUUUGUUCAACCACUAAAAACUUACG
RNAcentral lists this ribosomal RNA (491 nucleotides) under Ophiocoma echinata. Its description in RNAcentral is "partial 16S ribosomal RNA". It matches the Rfam family "Bacterial large subunit ribosomal RNA", at positions 1819 to 2600 of the family's 2925-position model. The record is from RNAcentral. Lineage: Eukaryota; Metazoa; Echinodermata; Ophiuroidea; Amphilepidida; Ophiocomidae.